This 675-nucleotide long non-coding RNA is filed under the name Heterocephalus glaber (naked mole-rat). RNAcentral describes it as "lncRNA (ENSHGLG00000035423.1)". The record is from RNAcentral. Lineage: Eukaryota; Metazoa; Chordata; Mammalia; Rodentia; Bathyergidae.
UGUAACCUAGUGCAGAAACACUGUGGUAAUCGCGCUGGGUGGGUUAGGGUCUUGUUUUCUGUAAAAUGGCCGAAUGAAUUAAUUUUUCCUACGGUACUUUCACACUCCUGGCCUGAUUCCUUCCAACAACCCCUCAAAGCAGGUACGGAUCAUUUCCAUUUUUUGAAAAAGAAACACUGAGGCUAUGCAAGGCCUAUGAAAUGUUGCUUAUCUUCAUCCAGCCAGAGAUCAUGGGCUGAGUUGAAACAGACCAAGGGAUUGUCAAGAACCAGGGAUUGAACUCAGGACCUUGUGCUUGCCAGGCAGGCACUGGCACCACUGAGCUAAACCUCUGGCCCAAGUUCUACUGCUUUCUGCCUCUCUUGCCAUGGAUGUUUUUCUUUUGCGAUGCCCCUCUACCAUGCAACCCUGCCUUGGAGCCAGCCAACUGUGGACUGAAACCUCUACAGUGAGCCAAAAUAGAUGUUUUCUUCUUCAAUUUGAUUUCAGCUUGUGAAUUUGAUGAAUUCUGGAGGUGGGUUGCACAAAAUGUAAAUGUAUUUAAUACUGCUGAAUUGAACAUUAAAAGGAGUUGAGAUGGUAAAUGUUACAUCUAUUUUACACCAGUUCUUUUUUUGAGACAGGGUCUCACUAUCAUAUUUCAGGGUGACCCUGAACUCUCUAUGUAGUCCAGGC